RNAcentral lists this transfer RNA (71 nucleotides) under Dicentrarchus punctatus. RNAcentral's name for it is "tRNA-Ser". It matches the Rfam family "tRNA". From Rfam's summary of the family: Transfer RNA (tRNA) molecules are approximately 80 nucleotides in length. Their secondary structure includes four short double-helical elements and three loops (D, anti-codon, and T loops). The record is from RNAcentral. Lineage: Eukaryota; Metazoa; Chordata; Actinopteri; Moronidae.
AGGAAUGUGGCAGAGAGGUUAUGCGACUGAUUUGAAGACAGUACACGAGGGUUCAACUCCUUCUAUUCUUG